This 248-nucleotide long non-coding RNA is filed under the name Vigna radiata. Its description in RNAcentral is "long non-coding RNA (VRAD_LNC012433)". The record is from RNAcentral. Lineage: Eukaryota; Viridiplantae; Streptophyta; Magnoliopsida; Fabales; Fabaceae.
CGGUUCUCUUCAAGUUGGUAGAGUGGUUCUUUUCAUUCUAAUUCUAUUCAUUUGAUUGUAAUCUAUUAAACCAUUUUUAGUGGAACUGUUAAUCACUAUUUAUAGUGAUUAACGACUGGACGUAGAUUCUGUUGAAUCGAACCAGUAUAAAAAUACUUGUGUGAAUUUUUCUUAUCCCUACACUUAUUUUACUUAUCGCACAUCAACUGUUUGGUUAAUUUUCUGAAAGAAAAUUACUUUGAUAAAAA